GAAAGCGGUGCUAAUACCGGAUAAGACCAUAGCCGUUUCGGCGGCAGAGGUAAAAGCUGACCUCUCCAUGGAAGUUAGCGUUCGAAGACGGGCCCGCGUCCUAUCAGCUUGUUGGUGGGGUAAAAGCCUACCAAGGCAGCGACGGGUAGCUGGUCUGAGAGGAUGAUCAGCCACACUGGAACUGGAACACGGUCCAGACUCCUACGGGAGGCAGCAGUGAGGAAUUUUGCGCAAUGGGGGAAACCCUGACGCAGCAACGCCGCGUGGGUGAAGAAGGCUUUCGGGUCGUAAAGCCCUGUCAGGUGGGAAGAAACUCUUCAGUACUAAUAAUGCUGAAGCCUGACGGUACCACCAGAGGAAGCACCGGCCAACUCCGUGCCAGCAGCCGCGGUAAUACGGAGGGUGCAAGCGUUGUUCGGAAUUAUUGGGCGUAAAGAGCGUGUAGGCGGCUUGGUAAGUCAGAUGUGAAAGCCCUGGGCUCAACCCAGGAAGUGCAUUUGAAACUACCAGACUUGAGUACGGGAGAGGAGGGGGGAAUUCCCGGUGUAGAGGUGAAAUUCGUAGAUAUCGGGAGGAAUACCGGUGGC
Molecule: ribosomal RNA, 587 nt
Filed under: uncultured bacterium
Lineage: Bacteria
Description: bacterial SSU rRNA
Rfam family: Bacterial small subunit ribosomal RNA
Source: RNAcentral